This 83-nucleotide transfer RNA is filed under the name Pelobacter propionicus DSM 2379. It matches the Rfam family "tRNA". From Rfam's summary of the family: Transfer RNA (tRNA) molecules are approximately 80 nucleotides in length. Their secondary structure includes four short double-helical elements and three loops (D, anti-codon, and T loops). The record is from Rfam by way of RNAcentral. Lineage: Bacteria; Pseudomonadati; Thermodesulfobacteriota; Desulfuromonadia; Desulfuromonadales; Desulfuromonadaceae.
GCCAGAGUGGUGGAACGGUAUACACAGCAGACUCAAAAUCUGCCGCCCGUAAGGGCUUGUCGGUUCGAAUCCGACCUCUGGUA